RNAcentral lists this ribosomal RNA (232 nucleotides) under uncultured bacterium. Its description in RNAcentral is "partial 16S ribosomal RNA". It matches the Rfam family "Bacterial small subunit ribosomal RNA", at positions 118 to 347 of the family's 1533-position model. The record is from RNAcentral.
UGAGGAACAUGACCUUCGGCGGGGGAUAGCCGGCCCAACGGCCGGGUAAUACCGCGUACGACCACAUGGGGACAUCCCAGAGUGGUGAAAGCAGCAAUGCGCCGAUGGAGUGCCUCGCGGCCUAUCAGCUAGUUGGUGAGGUAACGGCUCACCAAGGCGACGACGGGUAGCUGGUCUGAGAGGAUGGCCAGCCACAUUGGGACUGAGACACGGUCCAGACCUNUACGGGAGG